RNAcentral lists this ribosomal RNA (252 nucleotides) under uncultured bacterium. Its description in RNAcentral is "partial 16S ribosomal RNA". It matches the Rfam family "Bacterial small subunit ribosomal RNA", at positions 15 to 257 of the family's 1533-position model. The record is from RNAcentral.
GAUCCUGGCUCAGGAUGAACGCUAGCUACAGGCUUAACACAUGCAAGUCGAGGGGCAGCAUUUUAGUUUGCUUGCAAACUGAAGAUGGCGACCGGCGCACGGGUGAGUAACACGUAUCCAACCUGCCGAUAACUCCGGAAUAGCCUUUCGAAAGAAAGAUUAAUACCGGAUAGUAUACGAAUAUCGCAUGAUAUUUUUAUUAAAGAAUUUCGGUUAUCGAUGGGGAUGCGUUCCAUUAGUUUGUUGGCGGGG